GCGCAGCAGGCGAGAAUUUUUCACAAUGGGCGCAAGCCUGAUGGAGCGACGCCGCGUGGGGGAUGAAUGGCUUCGGCCCGUAAACCCCUGUCAUUUGCGAUCAAACCUCAUUAUUUAAAAGAUGAUGAGCUGAUAGUAGCGAAAGAGGAAGGGACGGCUAACUCUGUGCCAGCAGCCGCGGUAAUACAGAGGUCCCAAGCGUUGUUCGGAUUCACUGGGCGUAAAGGGUGCGUAGGUGGUGAGGUAAGUCGGAUGUGAAAGCUCGGAGCUCAACUCCGAAAUGGCAUUGGAAACUACCUUGCUCGAGGGUUGGAGGGGGGACUGGAAUACUUGGUGUAGCAGUGAAAUGCGUAGAUAUCAAGUGGAACACCAGUGGCGAAGGCGAGUCCCUGGACAACUCCUGACACUGAGGCACGAAAGCUAGGGAGCAAACAGGAUUAGAUACCCCGGUAGU
RNAcentral lists this ribosomal RNA (454 nucleotides) under uncultured organism. RNAcentral describes it as "bacterial SSU rRNA". It matches the Rfam family "Bacterial small subunit ribosomal RNA", at positions 346 to 794 of the family's 1533-position model. The record is from RNAcentral.